This 438-nucleotide unclassified non-coding RNA is filed under the name Hevea brasiliensis (rubber tree). Lineage: Eukaryota; Viridiplantae; Streptophyta; Magnoliopsida; Malpighiales; Euphorbiaceae. The record is from RNAcentral.
GCGAGAAUAGGGAUUAAUCAGUGUGGAUCGGUGUUGGGGGAUUGAAGGACGGUAGCAGGGGAGUCAUGGACCCUGCAGCUGUCGAUAGGAUUAUUGAGAAGCUAUUAGAAGUUCGAUUAUCGAAGCCUGGCAAGUUGGUGCAGCUUUCCGAGUCUGAAAUCAAGCAACUAUGUGUUUCCUCUAGAGAUAUCUUCGUUAAACAGCCAAAUCUACUUGAACUUGAAGCACCCAUCAAAAUUUGCGGUGACAUUCAUGGGCAGUACAGUGAUCUGUUGAGGCUUUUUGAAUAUGGUGGUUUUCCUCCGAAGGCUAACUACUUAUUCUUGGGUGAUUAUGUAGAUCGUGGGAAGCAGAGCUUGGAAACAAUAUGCCUCUUGCUUGCCUAUAAGAUCAAGUAUCCUGAGAACUUUUUCUUGCUUAGAGGAAACCAUGAAUGUG